This 292-nucleotide ribosomal RNA is filed under the name uncultured bacterium. RNAcentral's name for it is "partial 16S ribosomal RNA". It matches the Rfam family "Bacterial small subunit ribosomal RNA", at positions 505 to 796 of the family's 1533-position model. The record is from RNAcentral.
GUGCCAGCCGCCGCGGUAAUACGAAGGGGGCUAGCGUUGCUCGGAAUCACUGGGCGUAAAGCGCACGUAGGCGGCUUUCUAAGUCAGGGGUGAAAUCCUGGAGCUCAACUCCAGAACUGCCUUUGAUACUGGGAAGCUCGAGUCCGGAAGAGGUGAGUGGAACUCCGAGUGUAGAGGUGAAAUUCGUAGAUAUUCGGAAGGACACCAGUGGCGAAGGCGGCUCACUGGUCCGGUACUGACGCUGAGGUGAGAAAGCGUGGGGAGCAAACAGGAUUAGAAACCCCCGUAGUCC